Monodelphis domestica (gray short-tailed opossum) is the source of this 1232-nucleotide long non-coding RNA. RefSeq lists it as uncharacterized. Lineage: Eukaryota; Metazoa; Chordata; Mammalia; Didelphimorphia; Didelphidae. The record is from RefSeq and is a predicted model, not a curated record.
UUGGUCACCUUAUACUAGAUACCUGUGGCCAUACUAAUUCUUCCUUUCCUGACCAUCAAUUAGCCCUUAUGGUCAAUAUGUGACAUUUUGAAACUUGAUUAUAUUUUCUCAAUUUGGAGGACUAGCACCUUUGGUUUGAGAGUUUGAUCAACCUUUUUCAGGGUUGCUCACCCACCCUUAGCGUCCACCUUUCACCAAACUCUCACUUGAGGCUCCAAAAAGUUGUAGCUUGAAGCAAUAGCCAUGUCUUGGUCAAGUCAUCUUGUCAGACAGGCUAAACCAAGUUGAGAGUAAUCAAUGGUCCUCAAACCCUUUGGCAAGUUAGGGGAUUGUCUACCUCAAGCUCGUGAAGACUUCCCUUGGUGACAUGGGUAGAUGAGAACAAUUGGUUCCAAUGACCAUGAACGUAGCUGAAGCAGGUGUUGUGGAGUUUGGUCAGACAUCAAUGACAACAAGGUCCAUUCAUUACAUCCCAGGCCAUCAAGUACAGUUUUGUCUUGUUGCUAGACUUCCAUAACUCUGGAAGAGUGCAACUUUCCCUCACUUACAUCUAAUUCAUAGGCAAUUCAAGACAUCACCCCAUGGGGUCAUUGGUCCUCUUUAAAAUGAAGGAUGAACAAUAGUACAAACCUUGUUUCCAUCCAAAUUGUCCCUAGAUUUCUCCAAACUUAGGAUGGAGAAGGAAAGUUGAAUGGAGUCUAACUGAAUCCCAGACAACUACCUGGUUCUGAGUCAGAGGAUUAUGAACUUGGAACUAGAAGAGGCCAAAGAAAUCAUCCAUCUUCAUCUUGUAAAUGGGAAAAAUAUAUAAAAACUAUAUAAAUGAAAACCAUCAGAGGUCAAGUGACUUGCCCAAAGUUCAUCAAAUAUAAAUGCAAAACUAGAAUUGAAACCUGGGAUUUCUGAUGACAAACCUGAUUCUCUUCCAUUGUAGCAUUUUGCUUCCUUAAUGUUAGGGAGCUGUGGCAUCUUUUACCUAGCAGGCAGAGAAGUUGCAUCUACAAAGUGACUGGAAACAAACCUCAAUUCUUCCAAAUGUUCCAAGCAUUAGUAGGCUGGAUAAGCCUAAACACAAGUGGCAAAAUUUAUUUGGAUUCAGGGACUGCAUUCAUGGAUAUUCAUCAGUCACUCUAAAUGUUCCUAUCUGUAUAUCCUUCCUAUAUCUUCAGGUGAAGGGGCUUCUCUGAAUGUUGAAAACUGUAAAUAAAUGUCAAUUAUUAUGUAUGCCUUAA